GACAGAGGGUGCAAACGUUGUUCGGAAUUACUGGGCGUAAAGCGUGUGUAGGCGGUUUGCUAAGUCGGGUGUGAAAGCCCCGGGCUCAACCCGGGAAGUGCACUCGAAACUGGCAGGCUAGAGUACUGGAGAGGUUGGUGGAAUUCUCGGUGUAGAGGUGAAAUUCGUAGAUAUCGAGAGGAACACCGGUGGCGAAGGCGGCCAACUGGACAGAUACUGACGCUGAGACACGAAAGCGUGGGGAGCAAACAGG
Molecule: ribosomal RNA, 253 nt
Filed under: uncultured bacterium
Lineage: Bacteria
Description: partial 16S ribosomal RNA
Rfam family: Bacterial small subunit ribosomal RNA
Source: RNAcentral